Molecule: ribosomal RNA, 494 nt
Filed under: uncultured bacterium
Lineage: Bacteria
Description: partial 16S ribosomal RNA
Rfam family: Bacterial small subunit ribosomal RNA
Source: RNAcentral
GACGAACGCUGGCGGCGUGCUUAACACAUGCAAGUCGAACGGUGAAGCGCCUUCCUUUUUGGUGGGUGUGGAUGAGUGGCGAACGGGUGAGUAACACGUGAGUAACCUGCCCCCUUCUUCUGGAUAACCGCAUGAAAGUGUGGCUAAUACGGGAUAUUCUGGGUCUGUCGCAUGAUGGGUCUGGGAAAGAUAUUGUUUCGGUGGGGGAUGGGCUGGCGGCCUAUCAGCUUGUUGGGGGGGUGAUGGCCUACCAAGGCGGUGACGGGUAGCCGGCCUGAGGGGGUGGACGGUCACACUGGGACUGAGACACGGCCCAGACUCCUACGGGAGGCAGCAGUGGGGAAUAUUGCACAAUGGGCGCAAGCCUGAUGCAGCGACGCCGCGUGAGGGAUGGAGGCCUUCGGGUUGUGAACCUCUUUCGCCAGUGAAGCAGGCCUGCCUCGUUUGUGGGUGGGUUGACGGUAGCUGGAUAAGAAGCGCCGGCUAACUACGUG